This 1338-nucleotide ribosomal RNA is filed under the name Escherichia coli. Its description in RNAcentral is "partial 23S ribosomal RNA". It matches the Rfam family "Bacterial large subunit ribosomal RNA", at positions 816 to 2136 of the family's 2925-position model. The record is from RNAcentral. Lineage: Bacteria; Pseudomonadati; Pseudomonadota; Gammaproteobacteria; Enterobacterales; Enterobacteriaceae.
UGGGGGUGAAAGGCCAAUCAAACCGGGAGAUAGCUGGUUCUCCCCGAAAGCUAUUUAGGUAGCGCCUCGUGAAUUCAUCUCCGGGGGUAGAGCACUGUUUCGGCAAGGGGGUCAUCCCGACUUACCAACCCGAUGCAAACUGCGAAUACCGGAGAAUGUUAUCACGGGAGACACACGGCGGGUGCUAACGUCCGUCGUGAAGAGGGAAACAACCCAGACCGCCAGCUAAGGUCCCAAAGUCAUGGUUAAGUGGGAAACGAUGUGGGAAGGCCCAGACAGCCAGGAUGUUGGCUUAGAAGCAGCCAUCAUUUAAAGAAAGCGUAAUAGCUCACUGGUCGAGUCGGCCUGCGCGGAAGAUGUAACGGGGCUAAACCAUGCACCGAAGCUGCGGCAGCGACGCUUAUGCGUUGUUGGGUAGGGGAGCGUUCUGUAAGCCUGUGAAGGUGUGCUGUGAGGCAUGCUGGAGGUAUCAGAAGUGCGAAUGCUGACAUAAGUAACGAUAAAGCGGGUGAAAAGCCCGCUCGCCGGAAGACCAAGGGUUCCUGUCCAACGUUAAUCGGGGCAGGGUGAGUCGACCCCUAAGGCGAGGCCGAAAGGCGUAGUCGAUGGGAAACAGGUUAAUAUUCCUGUACUUGGUGUUACUGCGAAGGGGGGACGGAGAAGGCUAUGUUGGCCGGGCGACGGUUGUCCCGGUUUAAGCGUGUAGGCUGGUUUUCCAGGCAAAUCCGGAAAAUCAAGGCUGAGGCGUGAUGACGAGGCACUACGGUGCUGAAGCAACAAAUGCCCUGCUUCCAGGAAAAGCCUCUAAGCAUCAGGUAACAUCAAAUCGUACCCCAAACCGACACAGGUGGUCAGGUAGAGAAUACCAAGGCGCUUGAGAGAACUCGGGUGAAGGAACUAGGCAAAAUGGUGCCGUAACUUCGGGAGAAGGCACGCUGAUAUGUAGGUGAAGCGACUUGCUCGUGGAGCUGAAAUCAGUCGAAGAUACCAGCUGGCUGCAACUGUUUAUUAAAAACACAGCACUGUGCAAACACGAAAGUGGACGUAUACGGUGUGACGCCUGCCCGGUGCCGGAAGGUUAAUUGAUGGGGUCAGCGCAAGCGAAGCUCUUGAUCGAAGCCCCGGUAAACGGCGGCCGUAACUAUAACGGUCCUAAGGUAGCGAAAUUCCUUGUCGGGUAAGUUCCGACCUGCACGAAUGGCGUAAUGAUGGCCAGGCUGUCUCCACCCGAGACUCAGUGAAAUUGAACUCGCUGUGAAGAUGCAGUGUACCCGCGGCAAGACGGAAAGACCCCGUGAACCUUUACUAUAGCUUGACACUGAACAUUGAGCCUUGAUG